CAGUAGCCGCGGGAAAACGUAGGGCGCGAGCGUUGUCCGGAAUCAUUGGGCGUAAAGCGCGUGUAGGCGGCUGAGUAAGUCUGCUGUGAAAGUCCAGGGCUUAACCCUGGGAUGUCGGCGGAUACUGCUCAGCUGGAGUACGGGAGGGGCGAGUGGAAUUCCUGGUGUAGCGGUGGAAUGCGCAGAUAUCAGGAGGAACACCUAUGGCGAAGGCGGCUCACUGGUCCAUUACUGACGCUGAGGUGCGAAAGCGUGGGGAGCAAACAGGAUUAGAUACCCCCGUAGUCCCUGUCUCUUAUAC
Molecule: ribosomal RNA, 301 nt
Filed under: uncultured bacterium
Lineage: Bacteria
Description: partial 16S ribosomal RNA
Rfam family: Bacterial small subunit ribosomal RNA
Source: RNAcentral